Molecule: ribosomal RNA, 777 nt
Filed under: uncultured Neocallimastigales
Lineage: Eukaryota; Fungi; Neocallimastigomycota; Neocallimastigomycetes; Neocallimastigales
Description: partial large subunit ribosomal RNA
Rfam family: Eukaryotic large subunit ribosomal RNA
Source: RNAcentral
CAUCACUACGCUAGAUGCAUUAUCAAUAAGCGGAGGAAAAGAAACUAACAAGGAUUCCCUUAGUAACGGCGAGUGAAGCGGGAAGAGCUCAAAUUUGAAAUCUUCAAGGUUUUACCCUGACGAAUUGUAGUUUAAAGAAGUGUUUUCUGUUGAAGUUUUGGUAAAAGUUCUUUGGAAUAGGACAUCAUAGAGGGUGAGAAUCCCGUAUUUGACCAUUAUUUUCAGCUGUGUGAUACACUUUCAAAGAGUCGGAUUGUUUGGGAAUGCAGUCCAAAAUGGGUGGUAUAUUUCAUCUAAAGCUAAAUAUUGGCGAGAGACCGAUAGCGAACAAGUACCGUGAGGGAAAGAUGAAAAGAACUUUGAAAAGAGAGUUAAACAGUACGUGAAAUUGUCAAAAGGGAAGCGUUUGACACCAGUGUUGUUUUUCUGAAAAUCAAUUAAAGAACUGUUUAUGCUAAGUUGUUUAGACUUUAUCAGCUAACUGUUUAGUUUUGAGCUUUUCUUUAAUGCACUUUUCAGUUAACAAGUCAACAUCAAUUUCUUUUGCUGUAAAAAAGCUUGAGGAAGGUGGCUUGAGAUUCGUCUUAAGUGUUUAUAGCCUCUUGCCUAUGCAGUCGGAGAGAUUGAGGUCUGCAGCGUAGAUCCUUCGGGGCUAAAUGCAUUUGUGCUAAGUUAUAACAUUUUAUAGACAACUUGUUGACUAUGAUUUAGUCAUUGUAGCUUACUCGCUUAUGUUAUUUUACCUACGCUUAGGAUGUUGACGCAUGAGAUAUACGC